CUCUCAGUAGCGUAGUAGUUGACGCACCGUUCCAGAUAGGCGUGAGACGCGGGUUCGAAUCCCGCCUGAGAUG
RNAcentral lists this transfer RNA (73 nucleotides) under Nippostrongylus brasiliensis. It matches the Rfam family "tRNA". Rfam says of the family: Transfer RNA (tRNA) molecules are approximately 80 nucleotides in length. Their secondary structure includes four short double-helical elements and three loops (D, anti-codon, and T loops). The record is from Rfam by way of RNAcentral. Lineage: Eukaryota; Metazoa; Nematoda; Chromadorea; Rhabditida; Heligmosomidae.